UAUUACCUUUGAUUUAUGGUGUUGAAAAACAUAUUCAACCUAAUUUAUGCAGGAAUUAACUUUGGUAGAGAUUAAUUUUGGAUCUAUGGCCCCUUUCUAAAAUAUAUCAUCUCUAUUCAUAAUCUUGGCUUGCAGACAGAGAUGGUAGUGAGGAAAAGGAAAAAAAAACCAAAACCUUCCAGAAGGGAAAUACUUUUAAGUCCUUAAAUGAGGAUAACAGAAUGUUUUUAAAAUUAGGAUCCCUUGCAGUUCACAGCCAGAAUUUAGAAUGAACCAAACAGUGUUUUCCACUGAGUUUGGACAUUUGGUAGAGCAUUUUACAUGAACAUACAUAAAAUAGAAGGAAAUAAAAAACAGGACUGUGGCAUACAUUAAUGCUUAAUAAUAAGUCAUUAAUAACUCUGAACUAUUUAACCGGAAUUACUCUUCUAUUAUCUGUGUCGUAUCUUAUAGACUCCUGAGCGCAUGUGUGUCUGAGUGUGUGUCUUGGAAGAGAAAAAGGAUAGGAAGGAGAGGGAAAGAAAUCAAAGGGAAAAUUUUUAAAUCAAAGAGAAGUACAAAAUAUAGCUCCGAGCCUCGGGACAGUCAAGGGGAAAAGGCUACGAUGAAUGCCAUGCCUGACACUAGAAGCAUGUUAGUUUGCCAAGAGGAAUUAAUUUUCAGCAAGUCGCCUUUGUUUUAGAAAACAAACAACAUAGCAGACAGUGUCUCUUUUGCUUUACUUUUCUUAGACCCCAGCUCUCUCUACCGUUUCACACCUCACUGGCUGAGGUGAGUCACUCACCGACAUUACCUGCCUGGCCCCAGUCCGCACUUGUGCUUGUGACCCCUCGUCCUGAGGCUGCUGUUCGAAGCUCAUCACGCCUCUUCCUGUGGAAGCCGCGGGCCAGAGAGCCACCCGAGGCUGGAGCUGCUGGGCUCAGAUCCCCGGGUUAAUGGGCUUGUAGAAGUGGAGACCAAACUCCAGAUCCAGAAGGAAAGAGAAGAUUCAGCCCCAACACAAAUCUGCCUCUAUCUCCUGAGAAGAAAGAGGAAGCAACCACUCACCUCAGAUUUUCUGGAGCAACCAUGUCUUGAGGAUCCUUAUUUUGUGAUCGAUAAAUUCUGUCUGAUGAGAAUACAUGUUCUACCUGUGGCAGGGGUAAAGGAUGG
Molecule: long non-coding RNA, 1152 nt
Filed under: Capra hircus (goat)
Lineage: Eukaryota; Metazoa; Chordata; Mammalia; Artiodactyla; Bovidae
Description: lncRNA (ENSCHIG00010005828.1)
Source: RNAcentral